Molecule: non-coding RNA, 1637 nt
Organism: Myodes glareolus (Bank vole)
Lineage: Eukaryota; Metazoa; Chordata; Mammalia; Rodentia; Cricetidae
Source: RefSeq, a predicted model, not a curated record
UCUGUCUGCCUCUGCCCCCGCGUCCUGGGAUUAAAGGUGGGUGCCAUCACUGCCUGGCCUCUAUGGCUAACCCGUUGUUUAGCUCCACACUAUGAUCUUCAGGCAAGCUUUAUUUGUUAGAUCACAAACAAAGUAUCACCACAAUUAUGUAUUGUUUAAAAUGAUUUUAGAGUCAUAAUGUAUUUGGUAUACCAUCUUUUGUUUUAGUUUUUCCUUCAGUAAAAUAACUAAAUCACCUGUCCUUCCCAAAGGGGUGUCUGAAGUUCCAGGAGGAAAGGAGCCUGGAAAAAGAAGACCCCAAGAAUGGAUACAGUUCCCUUCUCCCUCUCAAGGUUUUCCUUCUGCAAGAACCUAAAUCAGGUUUUCCAGUGUGUCUAUUUAGUAUGGUACCAUGCUCUUCAACUGGUGGGCCAGAAUCCAGUGUGUUCUGGCUGGGAAGGUAAGUGAUGUCCCUGUGGAGGUUCAGGCCCUCAGGAAGCAGGUCGCUGCUGGGCUGAGUGACAGCUUGGGAGAUGGACAUCUCUGUGCUGGCAUAGCCUGUCUCAGAGCUGGCCUUUCCCUGGGGUCAUGAGGCCAGGCCUUUGCCGCUCCUUAGCGCCUCCUGGAGGCAGGAAAGGUGGCCUUCCAGGAGCUCAGUCAAUAGCCGGAGAGUGAGCUAGGGUGGGAGUGGGGGAAUAAUUCACACACUCACGUAGUAUCCUGCACCCCCAGGCGGCUCUCCAUCGUCAGCUUAGCUGGCUCAUGCCAGAUAUCAGGUGAAAGCUUACUGAGGAUUUUCUCUACAGGUUUGUGGGAGUGUGCCCAGCUGUGAGGGAAACAUCCUCCAUCCUCCGACUGGAUCAGUCUGUGGCCGUCUCUGCUCACUCUUUCUGCCAUCUCUUCACCAAAUAGCUCUCACAGAUGACUUUCAAAGCAACCAUGGUUUCCCAUGUUGGUCUCACCAUCCUUCUCUUCAGCUUCCACCAAAAGAUGUCCCCCAAGGGGCACUGAAAGAGGCUGACUUAAAGAGUAUGACCAGGGACUAAGACCGACGGAGGUGUCUCCAUGGAGACCUGGGCAGAGGUAGCUCUCAGCUCAGCAGACCCCACCCCCAGAGCCAUGGAUUCGGAUCAUCCAGUGAAAGAGGAGAAUCUCCUCCCUUCUGGAGUUCAGGAGGAAUGCAGUGGAACCAGGCUUCCUGCCCACUGCUCCCAAGGAUUUGUAAAUAUUUGUGUACCUCCUGCCUCUACUAGAUACAGUCCCUUAAUGGAAGGGACUGUCGUCUUUUCAUUGGCCAUUGCACUGGUCACCGACUUCACUGCAACAAAUUGGCGUCUGCAAAUGAUGGCCAUGGCCACUGGUAAAGAACAGGCCUGGGUGUGGACACAGUCAAGGAUACCUUGCUAUCUGGCUUAUGAUGAGAAACUUACUCUGUUUCCUAUGUGGCUGUGAACAGUUACCCAAUCCCCCACAUAGCUUUUGGCUCUCCACCCUCUGUACAUGUGUCUCUGGAGCUGUAUGAUUCCAUAGUACAUGGUUAGGGGACAGAAUCGGACAUAUGCGUGGAUCAGAAUUGUUUUCUGUCAACCUGUGGGUUUUCCUGCUUUGUUCAAUUGUUUCUUCUAUAAAUAUCGGCAAAUAAAAUUAUAUAAGAUCAA